RNAcentral lists this unclassified non-coding RNA (697 nucleotides) under Hevea brasiliensis (rubber tree). Lineage: Eukaryota; Viridiplantae; Streptophyta; Magnoliopsida; Malpighiales; Euphorbiaceae. The record is from RNAcentral.
UGAUGACUUGAAUUUGCUGCUCCGUGUCGUUAUCCUGAACUGGUUGAUCUGAACCUUUUGCAGUUGGUGUGACAGGAAAAAGAGAAAGUGCACCCUUUUGCACCCUCUCAGGAGGACUACUUGCGGUACUUCCUUGCAUGUCACUCCCUCUAUCCGCCUGAAUAAUUCGAUCACAAUCUGACAUGACCGCACUCUUCUGGCAUGAUAUGUUGCAUGAUUUUUGAUGAGGCCUAACUAAGUUGACCUCAUGCAUAAGUGGACUAUUCUCCUUCUCACUUGACCUGAUCCUGGAAAGUGGAUUCAUUUGCUCGAUAGCUGAACUUGAAGCAGAUGGCUUUAUCACAGGCAUGGAAUACGGUUGAAUGCAGGAUGGAUCAAAGAGUGCAGGACCAGGAAAAAUCCCAGCACCCUGCUUGUGGGAAGUCGGUACACUAUAAGGCACAUUCGCGAAGUCUCCACCUAUAGGUGGAGAUAAAGUCACAGGCCUGCAACUACCAUAAGCUGGCGCUAUGAUCCCUCCAGGCGGUGGACAAGGUCCUGUAUAAGGUUUAUAAAUAAGUCCUUCAGAAGGUGACCUUAUUGGAACUAAAUACUGAUAUCCAGGAGGUGGUUGGAAGGAUCGAGGUGCUAAUUUUGGAUCCGAUAAAAAAGAUCUCGAUGUUGGUGUCCCUACAUUUAGUUUUUGAGAUGAUUGCUG